UACUAGAGUAGCACUCGCAUAUCAAUAAGCGGAGGAAAAGAAACUAACUAGGAUUCCCUCAGUAACGGCGAGUGAAGCGGGAAGAGCUCAAAUUUGAAAUCUUCAAGGUUCUACCUUGACGAAUUGUAGUUUAAAGAAGUGUUUUCUGUUGGAGUUUUGGUAAAAGUUCUUUGGAAUAGGACAUCAUAGAGGGUGAGAAUCCCGUAUUUGACCAUUAUUUCCAGCUGUGUGAUACACUUUCAAAGAGUCGGAUUGUUUGGGAAUGCAGUCCAAAAUGGGUGGUAAAUUUCAUCUAAAGCUAAAUACUGGCGAGAGACCGAUAGCGAACAAGUACCGUGAGGGAAAGAUGAAAAGAACUUUGAAAAGAGAGUUAAACAGUACGUGAAAUUGUCAAAAGGGAAGCGUUUGACACCAGUGUUGUUUUCUCGAAAAUCAAUUAAAAAUGGUGGGAUUUUGUGUUGUAUUGACUUUAUCAGCUUUCUGCACUUUUUUCUUAUCUUUUUUAAUGCACUUUUCGUUUAACAAGUCAACAUCAAUUUCUUUUGUUGUAAAAGAGUCAUUGGAAGGUGGCUUUUUCUUCGGAAAAAGUGUUUAUAGCCUUUGGCUUCUGCAAUCGGAGAGAUUGAGGUCUGUAGCGUAGAUCCUUCGGGGUUAGAUACAUUUGUGCUAAGCUAUAGUUCUUUAUAGACAACUUGUUGACUAUAAUCAAUCCUGUAACUUACUCGCUUAUGCUAUUUUACCUACGCUUAGGAUGUUGAUAGUCACAGCGUGUAC
RNAcentral lists this ribosomal RNA (774 nucleotides) under uncultured Neocallimastigales. RNAcentral describes it as "partial large subunit ribosomal RNA". The stretch from base 14 to 693 matches the Rfam family "Eukaryotic large subunit ribosomal RNA", at positions 24 to 664 of the family's 3401-position model. Lineage: Eukaryota; Fungi; Neocallimastigomycota; Neocallimastigomycetes; Neocallimastigales. The record is from RNAcentral.